UUUAGGGAGACCACCUGAAAUUAACCUAAUCCAAAUAUCACGGUUAAGAUUCAGAUAUCCCUGGUCGUUCGAGGAAAUAUCCGUGAAAGUGCUUUCAAACUAUUAGGUAGUUCGGAUCAUGGGCUAUUAGCUCAGUUGGUUAGAGCGCACCCCUGAUAAGGGUGAGGUCUCUGGUUCAAAUCCAGAAUGGCCCACCUUAAUUAGAAGUUAAAAUUAUCUAAUUAAAAGUCUUAAACUUAAGGUUUUUUAAUUAAUAGUUUUUAAUUUGUAAUUUCCCACCAGUGGGGGUAUAGCUCAGUUGGUAGAGCGCUGCCUUUGCAAGGCAGAUGUCAGCGGUUCGAGUCCGCUUACCUCCACUCUUACCCAAGCCAGCCGCCCAAACCAACCGAAUUCCACAAAAAUCAAAUAAAGUCAAAAAACUGUUGCGUCUUAAGCAAUAUGUGAUAGACUAGAAAGAGUGACUAUAAAAGCUCAGCACCUAGAUUAGCGUGAAAAACGAAUCAGAAUGCUGGUCUUCCAAGUCCAGUCAGAACCUUGAAAACUGCAUAGCAAAAAAUCAUCAAGUAAAAAUUUGCAUGAUCAUCGACAGCGUUAAAACUGAAGAAAAUCAUCAAGUCGACCAUCAAACAGAAAAA
RNAcentral lists this transfer RNA (635 nucleotides) under Kamptonema formosum P07. Its description in RNAcentral is "partial 16S-23S ribosomal RNA intergenic spacer". The stretch from base 284 to 356 matches the Rfam family "tRNA". Lineage: Bacteria; Bacillati; Cyanobacteriota; Cyanophyceae; Oscillatoriales; Microcoleaceae. The record is from RNAcentral.